UGCUUCUACUUGCAAUUCGGUGGGCCAAACAGCGGGUUACUUUUUGGGCAAUGUUUUGUUUUUGGCCCUUGAAUCUGCCGACUUUUGUAACAAAUAUUUGCGGUUUCAGCCUCAACCCAGAGGAAUCGUUACUCUUUCAGGGCUUGUUAAACAACUGUUUUAAAACAGAUGAUGACCAAAACCUGCUCAAUGAGAAUAGUAUUGUACAUGAAACUCUAAAGAAGUCAUUAUUCAUCUCAUUUUGCAGAUGGAAUUAAGAAUGCAAAAAUAGUGGACAUGCCAAGUGAAUGCUGUUAAUAAUAUGUAAAAUUAUUUGAUUAAACAUUUAUUACUUAAAAAAAAGUGGACAUUACCCUCACUUAUAAGGAUAAUGUUAUUAAUACAUUCUUGUUCAUUCCUUUCGAACCAGAUUCCAAAAUGCUAGAAAUUAUGUUAAGAUGUUAUUUUAUACUGGGCGUGGUGGCUCACACCUGUGAUCCUGGCUCUUUGGGAAGCCAA
RNAcentral lists this small RNA (498 nucleotides) under Pan troglodytes (chimpanzee). RNAcentral's name for it is "processed transcript". The record is from RNAcentral. Lineage: Eukaryota; Metazoa; Chordata; Mammalia; Primates; Hominidae.